Molecule: ribosomal RNA, 216 nt
Filed under: uncultured bacterium
Lineage: Bacteria
Description: partial 16S ribosomal RNA
Rfam family: Bacterial small subunit ribosomal RNA
Source: RNAcentral
CGCCUCCCUCCGCCGCCACUACACGACGUACCGUACGGGACGGACGAGCGAGGUAGGGAAGUCGUUCGCACAAUAGGACGAAAGUCGUGAUGCAGCAACGCCGCGGUGGGGAGUGAAGUCUUUCGGAGUGUAACCCUUCGACCCGGAAGAAUGCCGCAGGUUGACGGUACGGGUAUAAGAAGCCCGGCUAACUACGUGCCAGCAGCCGCGGUAAUA